Daphnia magna is the source of this 3415-nucleotide long non-coding RNA. RefSeq lists it as uncharacterized. The record is from RefSeq and is a predicted model, not a curated record. NCBI's taxonomy places the organism in Eukaryota, Metazoa, Arthropoda, Branchiopoda, Diplostraca, Daphniidae. The transcript is spliced from 4 exons.
UCCAGCUUGGAGUUGGCGGCCAAAAGGUUUUCCUGGGCUUGAUCCAGGUCGUUCUCCAACUGCUGCAUCUUUUUCUGGAGAGCGCGUACCUCUUCCUCUGACUGGAUAAUUCAUUUUCCGUUAAUUGAGAAAAAAGAACAUGGAUUUUGUUCGAAUCGAACCUUUUCAGCGCGGAGGUUGGCAUCUCGCGAUUGUUGUUCGCAAGUAUCGGCGCGAUCCAUCGCGUUAUCCUUCUCGGCUUUCAUCGCCUGCAUUUUCUUCUUGAUGGCGUCCAUUUCUGCUGGAUUUGGUUUGGCGACUUACGUAGAAAUUCAAAAACUAAUUGAAUUUGUUUUUUUUCCAAUCACGGGAGAAAUAUGUAAACAAAACAAAAAAAUCUGUUUAGCAUUUACAGCAUCACAUUUUUAAUGGCGGAAAAAUGCGGGAGUCGUUUCAGAUGGAGGUACCAGGGGAUGAGACAUCACAUAGACGGAUCUUAACAAAUGUAGAGCAUCAACGCAACGAUAUUUCCGACCUCCAGCUGAGUAUUGCUCAGCUGUGUGUGUGUGUGUGUGUGUGUGUGUGCGUUGGCUAUUCUUAACCCGCCCCUAUCUAGCUCGGAAUUCUUUCACUCUGCCGCGUAAUGUCGAAACGCCUCCCAAACCCCCUUCACAUUCAUUAUAAACGUGAAUACAACAUCAAAAGGUUAAAUGAAUAUCGUUGAAACAAAGUGUCAGCUUCAAAUGAAACAAAAAGGGCAUAAUAAAUACAAAUACAGUAAGUCCCCGACAUAGAUUCGUAUCGUUGUAUACGUUAACUAACUGAGUCAACCUGAUUCCAGGAGACGGACAGGGACAGACGAAAGCGAGUUGCAAUGGCCCGCGGGACAGACUGUCUCUUUCUACAGCGCCAAAUAUGGCAAACGAAACGGCGCUGCGUUUCGGAUCGUUUGUUUUGGUUUUUCUCGAACGUGAAUAGAUUCGAGACUACUAUCUUCUGACAAGGUCAAGUCCAACUUCAUUAUGAAAUCUCUCCACUAUCGUCACAGCUAGACCUUAGCAUUACCUUAACCGGAAAGUUUCACUAAGCAAUCCGAAUGUGUGUGUGUGUGUGUUAUAGUCGGACGACACUGGUUUCAAGAAAUCACUUUUUUGUUUGUUUUUGCUUUGUAGCCGAAGAUGAACCCAUUGGUUAGAACGAAGACGAGUGUUUAGUAUUGGGGAAAUGUGUUUGGGAAUAACAGAAGUUGAGAGGCAAUGUUACAAAAGUGAGAAUUAAGAACAGAGAGAGAGAGAGAGGAUCGGAUAAAAACAAUCAGUUUAAAAUGCAAACUCACCUCGGAAGUUGAGUGAGGAGCGAGAAACCCGUCAGGCUGUUACGGCGACUGAAGAGCAACUGUUCUAGCUUCGACGUUCUAGCCGACUACCCAAUAACUCGGAGCCAACUGUGGAGUGUACACCCGGGUAGCUUCUAUAGCCAGUUUUUUAUUUUGCUCUCCCUUACUCCCUCCCGAGAAAAUACCCACCUCCUUCUCUCCCGUCCUUGCAAUGAAGAACCCGUUUUUUUUCGGAUCCCGCCCGUAGAAAGCCCGCCUACACGUUUUCACUCUCACUCUUUUUCCUACCCAUUCCUUCUUUGCUCUCAACCUCUCAAUCCAUUAAAAGAAACACUUUUUUUAUUUCCACACUCGACAUAUUGAACUAAAAUAUUAGGAUGAAUCCGCGUGAACACGCUCGGAGGUUGCGGUCCGUGAUUGCGUGGUUUGUUCUUUGAAAGAAAGUCACUGUUUUGUCCGGUUUGUAAAUUUCGUGUUCCCUUUUUUUUUGUUUCUACAUCCAAGUAUAUAAUUAGGUUUUUUGCCCCUCAGAGUACCAACGGAACUGUUUAUUUUAUUGAAAUGCAUCAUUUAGUUUUAAACGCAAUAACCGCAGCCCGAAUGAUUGAGCACUUUGAGUAAAAAGUGUCCUCAAUCAGACGGUACGUGAAAAUGAAAAAGAAAGUGAAAAUGAUUGCAAGUACUAGGGACGAACAGAAAAAGCGACAUGGAAUUCCAUAUUCCAAAUGGGUGAGAAUUUAUUCAUACCGCAAGCUGCUCCCGACUGCUAAUGGUUAUGACGUAACUGGUGGAAGAUUACAUCGUCGUUUGAAGUCGAGAUAACCUUUUUUUGAUGACACUUGACUUUCUUUUCUCUUGUACGGUAUUUCAACGUUAGAACUGUAUGAUACAAACCUAAUCUACCAUAAAACUUAAAGGCAUCUAGUUAGGUUAAGCGAUGCCGGAGCAAACGGGGAGUACGCUACGACGUCGAAACCUUCGCGCUGAUUCCAAGAUUAAAUUCGUGAUAGUGUCAGGUAUUUACCAAAGUAAUGUGAGGCAUAUUCAGAUUUUGCAUUACCUUUGUUUGAAGUCGUCAUCAAUGAAACAAUAGAUUCAUUAACCUUGUACCUGCAGAAUACGCAGCACACGAGCUCGAGCUCGUGCUGGAUUCCAAAAGAUGACGGGAGUCACGAUUUUUCUGACUGUUUUUUUUUUCUUUUCUCCCUCACAUCUACGAGGUCGCUGACAAUCCGACGACUUGGCCGAUCAACGGGAUCGUACAACGGAGAACAGAAUAAGAGGCAGAGAAAUGGACGUUAUAGUCAAAUUCUUGAAAAGGGAAAAUCGAUACGACCUUGCCGAUCCUUGCCACUGGGCAUUUUAACACAGUGUUUCCUUCCAUCGGAGAUCUACACGUCGUCGUGUCCCGGGCACAUAAUACCUCAAUAGCAGAUUUUCGCUGAUCUCGGCAAACUACAAGCGCCACUACCGCUGCUACGGGACAUGCAUGUAUGCGCGGGUGCGCUCACGCACCAAAAAUGGACCGGGAUGUCGAGUCCAUUCCUUCGCCAUCAGUUCGGGACUCCCGAGAAACAAGAGACCUGACAAAAAAAAGAGUGACGACGUCGAUUGGCGUCGGUUGCAGACCGAUCUGAUGGAAUGUAUCGUUCGCAUUUAUCCGCAUAAACAAGAAACAUUCUUUCAUUCGUGUCUUGUGUCUGUAGGCCACGGUCGUACUGUGGAGACCCGCAGUAGUCGUACGAAACGAAAACGGAAAGGGAUUCGGAUAUUUCUCUCUCUGGGUCCCAGAAAUAGGUCGGGCUCAAUGCGCGCGCGCCAACCGGCCAUGCCACGAAGCCGUAUUGGUUUACCCUAAACAAGACGAAAUCCCCAUAUAAAUGAGGAGGCGGAGGAGGUGUGCAUGGGGUUCUCUCUUUCAUUCGACGUCGAUAACCAUGUAGGGAACACAAGAGAAAUGGAAAUCACACACAGAUGCAAAGAAAUCCCAGUCAAGGCAACGGCCAUGGAUUUUGCCCGGUUUGUCUUUUAUCUUGUACUUCGUUCAUCUCCCACUUUAGAAACGAAUUGCUGAAAGAAAUAAAAUGUUCAAACGGGGAA